RNAcentral lists this non-coding RNA (86 nucleotides) under Effusibacillus lacus. The record is from RNAcentral. Lineage: Bacteria; Bacillati; Bacillota; Bacilli; Caryophanales; Alicyclobacillaceae.
UAACCCGUGUUGAAAGGCACGGCUGAACUGGCAGGAGUCAGCAGAUGUCAUAGUACCUGUGAGGAGACGUCCAAACAGGGAAGGAC